UACGAAGGGAGCAAGCGUUAUUCGGAAUUAUUGGGCGUAAAGCGUGCGCAGGCGGCUUGGUAAGUUGACGGCGAAAUCCCAGGGCUCAACCCUGGAAUGGCCUUCAAAACUGCCGAGCCAGAGUCUUGGAGAGGAUAGCAGAAUUCCUAGUGUAGAGGUGAAAUUCGUAGAUAUUAGGAGGAAUACCGGAGGCGAAAGCGGCUAUCUGGACAAGUACUGACGCUGUUGCACGAAAGCGUGGGGAGCAAACAGG
This 253-nucleotide ribosomal RNA is filed under the name uncultured bacterium. RNAcentral's name for it is "partial 16S ribosomal RNA". It matches the Rfam family "Bacterial small subunit ribosomal RNA", at positions 524 to 776 of the family's 1533-position model. The record is from RNAcentral.